Molecule: long non-coding RNA, 1257 nt
Organism: Epinephelus fuscoguttatus (brown-marbled grouper)
Lineage: Eukaryota; Metazoa; Chordata; Actinopteri; Perciformes; Serranidae
Exons: 6
Source: RefSeq, a predicted model, not a curated record
UCCAUAGAUUACUGCUCUUCUACUGCAAAAGAGACUUAUCUUAGAGAGGAUGUUUUGGAUGACAUGGUCAGUAAGCGGUGGUUUGGUGAAGAUAAGAAAAAGGAAUGUCUGAGGCAUCUAGCUGAAGCCCAGGAGAACAACAUCCCCUUUACUGUCUCCACCUCUCUGACGUUGCUUAGUCUUUGUGUAUCUGUUUAUGAACUAUCUGUGGCUUAUUACAGCCGACUCCAGUGUGUGAUAGUUGUGUACAACAGACGAACGAGUACCCUCAAUUCUUUAUACCAGAUGAGACUUUCUGCACUGUCUGCCCUGGGACUGUUCCUUUAAGUGCUCCGAUUCUGAUAACUGCAAAGGCCAAAAUUCUGACCAUUGAUGGGACUAUAAAUGAUGUCUCUACAUUUAUCAGGAAAUGGGAGGACUGCGGCAUGACUUAUCGCUAUCAGGAGUUCAAGGAUGGAGUUCACAAUUUUAAUGAUCACCUCCUCCUUGGACUACACUUAUGUUUGUUUUUGAGGUCCCAGCUCCAGGUUAGUAUCUUCUUCAACAGUCACUUCAAAUUCUCUCUGAUUGGUUCCCCCCAGCUGAUAGCGUGAUGCACGGGUAUCUUCAUUUUGAAGCCAUGUCCAGCCAUACCUACGAUUUCAGCUGUGUAUGUUGCGGUGACCAUCCACCACCCAUUGUGGUAAUGGACCUUCAUAAAAAAGGUGUCUUCCAUCUGACAAUGAGUGACUUGAAAAGUCCACCUGAUGACUAGAAAGGGGAAGUGAAUAUGGAGAACUUCUGGGAUUCUGUUUCCAAGGAGCUUAUUGCCCGUGGUUUCUUGACAAGCAACAGAAACAAUCCAUACAGUGUUCCACCCUCCUUUGAGUAUUGAGCACCAUGGAUCGGUGGUAAAACACAGAGGUCAGCGGUGGUGCUCAACACUGAGUAUAAGAAAAUCCAGACGUCCAAGGCUCCAGCAGAAAAUUCUGAACUAACAGUCACCAAGGACCAUCUCCUAAACGAGCUCCUUAAUCAGAAGGCCCUGAAGAAGAAAUGCAGUUAAAGCCAAAUAAGGCAGAGUCAGGACCUGCUCAUGAUCAACAAGCAACGGGCGAGGACAUUACCAGCUGUGGGCAGCACUGUAAGCCCUUAACACAGACCUGCACGGGUGAGGACAUUUCCAGCUGUGGGCAGCACUGUGAGCCGUUAACACAGACCUGCAACCUCAGACCAUGUAGACUCUCAUGGACUUUGGGUAACCACCCAAAGCAACAG